UCCUUCGUGGUGUAGUGGUCAGCACGCUGGGCGCAUAUUCCAGAGGUCGUGGUUCGAGUCCCGGCAAAGGAG
Molecule: transfer RNA, 72 nt
Filed under: Stegodyphus mimosarum
Lineage: Eukaryota; Metazoa; Arthropoda; Arachnida; Araneae; Eresidae
Rfam family: tRNA
About the family: Transfer RNA (tRNA) molecules are approximately 80 nucleotides in length. Their secondary structure includes four short double-helical elements and three loops (D, anti-codon, and T loops).
Source: Rfam by way of RNAcentral